UUUUUUAUCGAAAAAUUCCCCCUUUAAAAAUCAUUGUAUUUUCAUUGAACCCUAAUCUUAACUGUAGAUAGCCCACCCCUCCCCUCCGCUUCUCUUUGAAAUCGUAACUCUCUGCUCUCCGAUCUCUCUCCAUCUGCUCGUCGUCACUCCUUAUGCUUGACAUCGCCGUCGAUUCGUCUGCUUCUCUGCAUUUCGUUCUCUAAAACUUUAGAACACUAUGAGCAAGGAGCUUUCCGCAGUUUGAUUAUGUAUAAUGCUAGACAUGAGCAAGAAGCAUACUGGAACAAUGAGCACAUAUUGCCCUGCACCUCUGAGAUCUACACCGCCUCUGAGGGUGACCGCUAUGAGAAAUCGGUUAUUUAUGAAAUUAUUGAAACAUCGUGGUAUACCAGAUGGUUUGAUUAUAAGCCACCUCCCUUUUGGUCCAACAGCUUAUCUCAACUGCUCAAUUUGGUGCAGGAUGUUUUGUGAUGCUACAUAGUGGCGAAGCCACGUGAGGACGAGGAGUGGUGACCGCCCCUCCCCUCGCCGGAAAACACAGCUGAAGCCGAGGUUUCGCCCCUCCCCUCACCGGAAAACCCAGCCCCUCCAUCUCUGUUUUGGCACCGGUGAACUGGUUUCUGCUGCGUGCAGCAGCACUGGGUUCUUUUUUUUCCUUUUAAAUUAAUAAAAAAUUUAAAAUCUGGCCCGCAUGUCCCAAAGUUAGGCCCCUCCAUGUCUCAUGUCUGUUUCAAAUUAGUGCCCCUCCACGUGAAACUUUCAAUGUUUGAAAAAAACCAAAAAAAUAUAUAUGUUUUGGGGGGACCGCGUGGCAUGUCCCCCAUUCCUUCACUUAGUCAGCCCGCGUGUCAUGCUUUACCAUUCCAAAUUUCUCCCUUCCCCAAUCAGAGAGAGAGAGAGUGCAAAGCUUCUCCCAAAAUCUCAGCAGCCUGAGCCUGCAGCCAACGCCCGCAGCCAACGCCCAACCCCAACGGAACGGAAAAUAAAUCCCCAUUGGCUGAUUUCUGUUGGCUUUUUGCUGCUAACACUAGCCACUCCAGCCGCUAAGCCGACUUCUAGCCUUCAAUUUCAAAGUUACGUAAUGGAACGGUACUAUAAGAAACAAUGCUUAAAUCCUCCUUCAAACAUUUCGGGUAGUCCUUCUCGUUCAAAUAUUCCAAGUAGUCAUCUUCCUCCUCCUUCAAAUAUAAGAUGUCCUUUGAAUAUUCUGAGUAGUUCACAACAAAGUGAGCCCACUGAGUUGGAUGAGAUAUUGGCUAAUCUUCAUGCAACCGCUUCGGUGGAGAGAGCUUUUUCUGCUAUGAAGAUUAUGAAAACACCAUUGCAUAACAAAAUGGGAGAUCAAUGGUUGAGUGAUAGCAUGCUUGUUUACAUAGAGAGAGAUGUAUUUGCUUUUAUUGAUAAUGAGCCUAUUAUGCGACGUUUUCAUGGUAUGAAACGUCGUCGGCAACAAUUGUAAUUUGUUUAUGUUGAUAAAUUAUGGAAGACAUUACUAUAUAAAAUGAUUUGGUUGUUGCUAU
Non-coding RNA from Malus domestica (apple), 1520 nucleotides. The record is from RefSeq and is a predicted model, not a curated record. NCBI's taxonomy places the organism in Eukaryota, Viridiplantae, Streptophyta, Magnoliopsida, Rosales, Rosaceae.